RNAcentral lists this ribosomal RNA (440 nucleotides) under uncultured bacterium. RNAcentral describes it as "bacterial SSU rRNA". It matches the Rfam family "Bacterial small subunit ribosomal RNA", at positions 338 to 795 of the family's 1533-position model. The record is from RNAcentral.
CCUACGGGAGGCUGCAGUGGGGAAUCUUCCGCAAUGGACGAAAGUCUGACGGAGCAACGCCGCGUGAGCGAAGAAGGUCUUCGGAUCGUAAAGCUCUGUCCUAAGGGAAGAAUAAUGACGGUACCUUAGGAGGAAGCCCCGGCUAACUACGUGCCAGCAGCCGCGGUAAUACGUAGGGGGCGAGCGUUAUCCGGAAUCACUGGGCGUAAAGGGUGCGUAGGCGGCCCUGCAAGUCAGGAGUUAAAUCCCUCGGCUCAACCGAGGUCAGCUCUUGAAACUGGGGGACUUGAGUGCAGAAGAGGAAAGCGGAAUUCCACGUGUAGCGGUGAAAUGCGUAGAGAUGUGGAGGAACACCAGUGGCGAAGGCGGCUUUCUGGUCUGUAACUGACGCUGAGGCGCGAAAGCGUGGGGAGCAAACAGGAUUAGAUACCCGGGUAGUC